UCCCCGGUGCCCACAUGUGGAGCAUCCAGCACCUGCAGGCAGCGUACAAGGCGAGGACCCACCUGCCAGGGCUGCUCCUCAAGGGGGCCCUGCCCAGGACUGCUUCUGGGAAGGGCCCUCCCUGGGGCCGUUCCUGGGCAGAGAACAAGGCCCCUGGGGGAGGCCAUGUACCCAGGACUCCACCCACAGGGGCCGUGUCUGAGGCGUCUCCUGGGAGCUGGUCCUUAUCCUCCUGAACAAUGAGACUGUUUUCUUUCCCUUGAUAGAAGAAGCAGCUCACCCAAGGCCACACAGCCCGGAGAUGCCAACGCUGAGUCCCAAAGUUCUGACUGUGCCCGCUCGAUGCCCUGACCCGCUGUUCCUGAAGCUGUUCUCCUGACUCAGCUUCUGCUAAGGUGACAAGACGGAGGCACACAGCCAUCUGACCACACCGCACAAUGAGGCACCAGGAAGGGGAGAGCAACGUAGGGGAAGGGACAGGAAGGGACCUGCAAGACGGGCCUUGAAGGAUGUGUAGGAGUUUGGCAAGAAGAGAAGAGGGCAAAGGGCCCAUUCAGGAAGCAGCAUGGGCGGGGUCCAGGGGAGAAGAGGGCUUGCUGCUGGGUGGGGUAGCCUGGUGGACUGGGUCACCUGGCUCAGGGGCCACCUCCUUCCUGAGGGGCCCAGAGCACCGGGAGUGGAGAGCUGCACGGAAGCAUGGUUCGUGGGGAUCGAGGACGUCGGGGGCACCUGGGUUUUGAGGUUUGAGCCGAGACUCCUCACUUUUUGGCUCAAGUAGAAACAGGUCUGAGAGGGGGUCCAGAUACUGUCACAGACAACCCCCACGGAUGGGUGCCCACCCCCACCAGUCACUGUGGAGGCAGCUGGAUCCACGUGGAAAACACGCCACCAGUGGCUUCUGCUGCUGCUGCAGAGCAGGUGAGCUUGUGACUCGCCUAGCAGGGCACCAAGUGACCAGAACAGCCCCGGACCCCCAGCCCUGUCCUGCCUUGUGUGGGGCGCCGCCUCGGAGGAGCCUUCGAAGGGUAAAUUUUCCCUUCCCCGCCCUUCAUGGAGGCCCAGGGUUUAAUACAAAUGUCCAUUGUAGAUAUUUAUUAACUCAAGAAAGCAACCAACCACUAUCACUCAGAGACUCCCUUCUUUGUUUUAAUUGGCUUGUUUAAUUGCUAGCUGUGUGGCCUGGGGCAGGUUAGCUCACCUCUCUGCGCUCCAUUUCUCCAUCUGUAUAUAGGAAUGAUAAUGUGAUCUGUUGCAUAAGACUGAUGUGAGGACUAAAUGGAAAUGUCAGGACAAAGCACAGCACCCGGGCAAUGUUGGUGUUUCCUAUUCAAGAACUUUACAGAUUUUAUUGCAAGUAAAAAGCACGAAUCCCUCCCCGAUUCGUCCUGCAGGGUCCCAGGUUUGCUGUGGUUCUUUUCUUGUUCUCUAGACUUUUCUUGGGGUUAGCGGUGGCUCAGCCCCCAGCAGGUCACAAGUGUCCCUUUUUACUUCUCUUCGUUCUUGGUGCUCAUGAGGGCUCGGUAACCCGGGCUUUGAGGGCAGAGGGGUCAGAGCUUGGGUCCAACCAGCUUUGCUGCGCUAGAGCCCUCUGCAGCCGCUUGGACUGCACUGCGCCCUCUCGCCCGCACCGAGGCCCCGGCACCUCUCCACCCCUUCGUGGAGUGCACUGCCAUCCACAGACAAAGUCUGCACGUGUGGGGUCAAAGAGAGACCCUCGCGGAGACCCAGAGUGCCGGGAGAGCAGAAGGCAGGGGAGUCCACACAGGGCAAGCAGCAACCAGGCUUCUGAGGACAGGAAAGGAGGGAGCAUCUGGUGGGAAGCUGGCGAGGAGGGGCUGGGAGCUGGUAAAGGGGUAACGGAAGGUCGCCUAGCUCCCUACCCCAAUGGCAGCCGACCCCCACCCCAGCCUGCCGCGCUGCACCCUCUCCUGCACAGGCCUGAACCUGCUGCGGAACCGUCUGUGGGGUCCCAAGUCCACCACAGACCAGGGGCUUCAGCCUGCUGCCUUCCCAGACGCAGGGACCCUGGACGCCUCCACAAGCACCCUGAAUCCUUAUCUGCUGUGGGCGAAGAGGAAAGGCCAGGAAUAAGGGCGCAUGUGGGGCACCCCAGCUCUUCCCAGACGGACAGCGCCGGCUGUCCAGACCCCCGUGGGGGGGAUCCAGUGACACCCACCCCGACGGCCCCACAUCGCCGCCUUCCUGCCUUCCCAGGUCUUCACCCUUCACCAGCGUCCUCUCCGAGCCCUGACUGACAGGAGUUGAGGGCCCGUUUCUGCAAGGAAGAACUUUCAUGCGGUGGCUCCCGCCUGUAAUCCCAGCACUUUGGGAGGCUGAGGCGGGCGGAUCAUCUGAGGUCAGGAGCUCGAUGAGACCAGCCUGACCAACAUGGUGAAACCCCGUCUCUACUAAAAAUACAAAAAUUAGCCGGGUGUGGUGGCGGGUGCCUGUAGUCCUAGCUACUCAGGAAGCUGAGGCAGGAGAAUCGCUUGAACCUGGGAGGCGGUGAGCUGAGAUCGCGCCGCUGCACUCCAGCCUGGGAGACAGAGCGAGACUCCGCAAAA
This 2564-nucleotide long non-coding RNA is filed under the name Homo sapiens (human). RNAcentral's name for it is "HSALNT0270289". The record is from RNAcentral. Lineage: Eukaryota; Metazoa; Chordata; Mammalia; Primates; Hominidae.